CUUGAACGCUGUCUGAAGAAUGCAGUCUGAGCGAUUAAGCAAAAUUAGUUAAAACUUUCAACAACGGAUCUCUUGGUUCCGGCAUCGAUGAAGAACGCAGCGAAAUGCGAUAAUUAAUGUGAAUUGCAGAAUUCAGUGAAUCAUCGAGUCUUUGAACGCACAUUGCGCCCCCUGGUAUUCCGGGGGGCAUGCCUGUCCGAGCGUCAUUGCUGCCCUCAAGCCCGGCUUGUGUGUUGGGUCUUGUCCCCCGAGGGGGACAGGCCCGAAAGGCAGUGGCGGCACCGUCCGAUCCUCGAGCGUAUGGGGCUUUGUCACCCGCUCUGUAGGCCCGGCCGGCGCUUGCCGACCCCAUCAAUCUUUUUUCAGGUUGACCUCGGAUCAGGUAGGGAUACCCGCUGAACUUAAUCCUAUCAAUAAAGCANAGAGAUAAUUACUGAGUGAGGGCCCUCUGGGUCCAACUCCACCGUGUUUAUUGUACCUUGUUGCUUGGCAGGCCGCUCAGGCGCGGGGGGCUUCGCCCGGGGCCCUGCCGGAGACAAUCUGAAGCUGUCUGAANAAAAGCAGUCCGAGAGAUUUAAACAAAAUUAGUUUAAAACUUUUCAACAACGGAUCUCUGGUUUCGGCAUCGAUNAAAAAACGCAGCGAAUGUGCGAUAAUUAUAAGUGUGAAAUUUGCAAAAUUUCAGUGAAAUCAGCAGUUUCUUUUAAACACAUUCGCGCCCGUGGUUAUUCGGGGGGGCAUGCUGCAUCGAGC
RNAcentral lists this ribosomal RNA (753 nucleotides) under Penicillium sp. SF4. RNAcentral describes it as "eukaryotic LSU rRNA". The stretch from base 53 to 206 matches the Rfam family "5.8S ribosomal RNA". Lineage: Eukaryota; Fungi; Ascomycota; Eurotiomycetes; Eurotiales; Aspergillaceae. The record is from RNAcentral.